Long non-coding RNA from Passer domesticus (house sparrow), 2173 nucleotides. RefSeq lists it as uncharacterized. Lineage: Eukaryota; Metazoa; Chordata; Aves; Passeriformes; Passeridae. The record is from RefSeq and is a predicted model, not a curated record. The transcript is spliced from 4 exons.
UUUUGCAGGCAACCUGAACAAAGGGAACAAGCAGCCCUGCUGCAGCAGACCAGUCCCAGGAAGCAAGGGAAAUGUGAUCCACAGGUGCAUUAUAAAAGGGAAGGCAGAGGUACAGGGGAAGGAAGCUUGCCUUUUGCUGCAGUGUGAGACAGUGCCUGGAUGUCUUGUGUCAUUGCACAUCUGGUGCAGAAAUAACCUGACCAUCAGAAGAAUUUGUUAAGACUUGUAACAGCCCAUGCAAAGAACUCAAGGUUUUGAACAAAUUCAAAAAGAGGACUUUGAGCAGAGCUGGAAAUGAGUGCAGGAGUUCUGGCUCAAGGUACCUCUGACUGAUUAAUUAUCCACUGAUGUGAUUCAGUCUCCAGAAAGAUCAGACAUACCCACCAUAAAGCAACCAAGCUCAAAGCAAAGGUAUGGGAUGCACAGCUGCAGACCUAGGUCAGCAGGAAACCCAUUGUGGGCUCAUACAAGUGGAUGAUGCUCCACACCUGGGCUUAGAUAUUCUGCUGCUUAUGUAAAUUCAUCAAAUGUAUUCCAUGUGCUCUCACACCUCUUGGAAGAGCCUAAUUCUCCUUGCUGAAUGAAAGAUGUAUUUAUUGAGGCACUUCAGAGGCCACUCUAGGAAAUGCAGGUGGUUCUCAUGGUUUGACCUGGAUCACAAAUGAAGACUUUUGCAGCAUAUUCAGCAGAGGACUUUCAAGCAAAGAUUGAGUAUUUAUGUUUUUGUUUGCUGUCAGUCAGUGAGAGGGUGAUGUGUCCUGUCCUUGCAGAAGUUGGUUAAGUGAAAGUAUUUCUUUAUGACCAUUGCCAUUUUCCCUUUAAUUUUGGUGCAGCGCUAAUCCCUCUCCUUUCAGGGUGUGUCAGUACACUUACAGACUAUGAUAAGUUGCCCAGCAUUGAAGGUUUUACAACCUUAUGUAUAUUUUUGAAUUUUUUUUUGGGACACAUAUAGAUCAUGUUAAAAACCAGAAGUCCAUUGUUCAAUCAAUCAAGUUAAUCCUGGUGCUCCUUGAUAACUAUAGCUAUCACAUUUCAGAGUGAUUUUAUUGGAUAUUACUGGGAUUACUUGUAGUAGCCACUCAGUCUAGACAGGGGUUUCUAUUACAGAGAACACAGACAAAAGGGUAAGAAAUAUUAAUGCCCAACAUCCAUUAACCAUGCACAAACUGCAUAUCAGAGAGUGGAUCCUGUUCACUUGGCUGGGGGUCUCCCUCCCUUUUGUUUAUCUCUCAGAAGACCACUGGCUUCUUAAUUAAAAGGAAAUACAUUGUCUUAAUAAAGGAGUAAGAAAGUAAGGAGCUGCUUGAAAAAAUUACCUCUUAGAGCUCAUAAAAAAUAGAGACAUUUCAAUCAACAGUCCCAAUUCUGAAAGGCCGGAGUAAUUUGCCCCAAAAUCUCUGGGAUGUCUUUCUCUUCCCACCUUUUUGUGAGAUGGGAGCAGUCACGGUGAUCUUGCUUUGAAACUUGGAAGGAUCUCCCACAGUCCUGUUGUGAGAAGUAUGAUGAAACACUCACCAGAGCUGGGUAAAAUCAUACUGCCUGGGCUUUCUGAAACAAAGCCUGUGGAAUGAGAAGCACUCCAGGAAUGCUGUGCCUUGAAUAAAUGUGAUGGGGCAGUGAUGCUGUUCCCACUGUCCCUUGGAAGAGAGCUCUGCUCAAUUAGGACUGUUGGCUGAAUAAAAUUAGACCUAGUUAACGAGGCACUGAGUGAGGUAAUGAAGUUAAACUCCAAAGCAUUUCAAAAUCGCGUUUUAUACUACUCCACAUGUUCAUAGAAUCAUAGCAUAUGGGCAAACAUUGUACUUGCUGCCUAGACCACUUGUGUCAGACUGUAUUUUGGAUAGGACAUAUUUCAGAUUGUUGUCAAAUUGCCCAUCAUAACAUGAGCUCCACCAGGUCUUUGAGAGAACGUUGGGAGUCAGGGGAACAGUAGAAAACUCAAACACUGCUUGCAUAUGGCUUGCUGUCCUAAAUUCAUGCACACAAAGACCUUGAUGUCCUUUUGUUCUUCACAUCCUUUGGGCAUCAAAAAUUAAUGAUCCUGUUGUUGGGAAGGGUUUGGGAUCAUGUAGAAGCAGAAGAGUAAAAAACUUUUUUUUUGUUGGAGGGUGGGAAUGAAAAACUAAUUCCCUAGUUAUAUUAGAAGCUUGCAAUUAUAUCAAGAUCCCCUUAA